Molecule: unclassified non-coding RNA, 206 nt
Filed under: Hevea brasiliensis (rubber tree)
Lineage: Eukaryota; Viridiplantae; Streptophyta; Magnoliopsida; Malpighiales; Euphorbiaceae
Source: RNAcentral
UGGCCCGCAGCCGAAACAUUGAUGAAAGCUGUUGUCCGACCCGCCGGAGAGGAUCUGCUCCUCCAAUCCGUCAAAGGUGGCGCGAAAUGGAUCGGGAAGGGGUAACGUCAUGAGGAUCUCGGCACGCUUGAACUGUAUGNGCGGUUAUUGCGCAAAACGUAUCUGGAUUGCUAACACGAAGGUGGCGCAUGCCGCGACUCCUGUCA